AGCAGCCGCGGUAAUUCCAGCUCCAAUAGCGUAUAUUAAAGUUGUUGCAGUUAAAAAGCUCGUAGUUGAAUUUCGGGGUCAGUAAGUUGGUCGUGCCUAUGGUAUGUACUGGCUUUACUGAUUCCUCCUUCUUGAAGAACUGUAAUGCCAUUAAUUUGGUGUUGCAGGGAAUCAGGACUGUUACUUUGAAAAAAUUAGAGUGUUUAAAGCAGGCUUACGCUUGAAUACAUUAGCAUGGAAUAAUGAAAUAGGACGUUGAUCCUAUUUUGUUGGUUUCUAGGGUUGACGUAAUGAUUAAUAGGGAUAGUUGGGGGCAUUAGUAUUCAAUUGUCAGAGGUGAAAUUCUUGGAUUUAUUGAAGGCUAACUACUGCGAAAGCAUUUGCCAAGGAUGUUUUCAUUAAUCAAGAACGAAAGUUAGGGGAUCGAAGACGAUCAGAUACCGUCGUAGUCUUAACCAUAAACUAUGCCGACUAGGGAUCGGAUGAUGUUAAUUUUUAAUGACUCAUUCGGCGCCUUACG
RNAcentral lists this ribosomal RNA (520 nucleotides) under uncultured Glomus. Its description in RNAcentral is "SSU rRNA". It matches the Rfam family "Eukaryotic small subunit ribosomal RNA", at positions 569 to 1092 of the family's 1831-position model. Lineage: Eukaryota; Fungi; Glomeromycota; Glomeromycetes; Glomerales; Glomeraceae. The record is from RNAcentral.